This 450-nucleotide ribosomal RNA is filed under the name uncultured Glomeromycotina. RNAcentral describes it as "SSU rRNA". It matches the Rfam family "Eukaryotic small subunit ribosomal RNA", at positions 569 to 1023 of the family's 1831-position model. Lineage: Eukaryota; Fungi; Glomeromycota. The record is from RNAcentral.
AGCAGCCGCGGUAAUUCCAGCUCCAAUAGCGUAUAUUAAAGUUGUUGCAGUUAAAAAGCUCGUAGUUGAAUUUCGGGAUCAAUAUAUUGGUCGUGCCUUCGGUACGUACUGGUAUCGUUGAUUUCUACCUUCUGACGAACCAUGAUGUCAUUUAUUUGGUGUCAUGGGAAAUCAGGACUGUUACUUUGAAAAAAUUAGAGUGUUUAAAGCAGGCACACGCUUGAAUACAUUAGCAUGGAAUAAUGAAAUAGGACGUUUGACCCUAUUUUGUUGGUUUCUAGGAUCGACGUAAUGAUUAAUAGGGAUAGUUGGGGGCAUUAGUAUUCAAUUGUCAGAGGUGAAAUUCUUGGAUUUAUUGAAGACUAACUACUGCGAAAGCAUUUGCCAAGGAUGUUUUCAUUAAUCAAGAACGAAAGUUAGGGGAUCGAAGACGAUCAGAUACCGUCGUAG